CCUUCGAUAGCUCAGCUGGUAGAGCGGAGGACUGUAGUUGGUAUCCGUUAGCAAUCCUUAGGUUGCUGGUUCAAUUUCGGCUCGAAGGA
Molecule: transfer RNA, 89 nt
Filed under: Pelobates cultripes (western spadefoot toad)
Lineage: Eukaryota; Metazoa; Chordata; Amphibia; Anura; Pelobatidae
Description: tRNA.Tyr
Rfam family: tRNA
About the family: Transfer RNA (tRNA) molecules are approximately 80 nucleotides in length. Their secondary structure includes four short double-helical elements and three loops (D, anti-codon, and T loops). Further hydrogen bonds mediate the characteristic L-shaped molecular structure. tRNAs have two regions of fundamental functional importance: the anti-codon, which is responsible for specific mRNA codon recognition, and the 3' end, to which the tRNAs corresponding amino acid is attached (by aminoacyl-tRNA synthetases). tRNAs cope with the degeneracy of the genetic code in two manners: having more than one tRNA (with a specific anti-codon) for a particular amino acid; and 'wobble' base-pairing, i.e. permitting non-standard base-pairing at the 3rd anti-codon position.
Source: RNAcentral